RNAcentral lists this ribosomal RNA (466 nucleotides) under uncultured bacterium. RNAcentral describes it as "partial 16S ribosomal RNA". It matches the Rfam family "Bacterial small subunit ribosomal RNA", at positions 28 to 507 of the family's 1533-position model. The record is from RNAcentral.
GACGAACGCUGGCGGCGUGCUUAACACAUGCAAGUCGAACGGAAAGGCCCUGCUUGCAGGGUACUCGAGUGGCGAACGGGUGAGUAACACGUGGGUGAUCUGCCCUGCACUUCGGGAUAAGCUUGGGAAACUGGGUCUAAUACCGGAUAGGAGCCAUCUUUAGUGUGGUGGUUGGAAAGUUUUUUCGGUGUAGGAUGAGCUCGCGGCCUAUCAGCUUGUUGGUGGGGUAAUGGCCUACCAAGGCGGCGACGGGUAGCCGGCCUGAGAGGGUGUACGGCCACAUUGGGACUGGGAUACGGGCCAGACUCCUACGGGGGGCAGCAGUGGGGAAUAUUGCACAAUGGGCGCAAGCCUGAUGCAGCGACGCCGCGUGGGGGAUGAAGGCCUUCGGGUUGUAAACUCCUUUCGCUAGGGACGAGGCUUUUUUGUGACGGUACCUAGAUAAGAAGCACCGGCUAACUACGUG